Long non-coding RNA from Cygnus olor (mute swan), 634 nucleotides. RefSeq lists it as uncharacterized. The transcript has 3 exons. NCBI's taxonomy places the organism in Eukaryota, Metazoa, Chordata, Aves, Anseriformes, Anatidae. The record is from RefSeq and is a predicted model, not a curated record.
GGCUGACUUUCACAUUCUGUCUUUUGGGAAUUUUGAUACUUUUCUGCCCAGGAAUGAUGUUACUAUGAAGAUGCUGUGCACUGCUGCUGUUCCCCUGCACUGAAUGCUGUACUUCCUAAUUUCUGAGACAAUACGGAGAAUUUUCACACAAUUUCAUCUAUUAAAAUCAACCACAGCUAUAAUGGCAAAGCUGUUCACAGCAACCUCUCUACAAUGAAUGGCUCUGAGCCCAGUCAUCCCUUUGUUGCAGUAUCAGGAGAAAAACAGAUAGAUGUUGCCAUUUGCCUAGGUGACUGAGAAGCAAUUUCAAGCAACAGGGAAGUUCUGCCCUGGUACAGUUCAUCACUUUGUUUCUAGCACAGAAAUUAGUCAUGAUGUAAAUAAAUAAUGGAGGGAUUGUAAAAGGCAGAGUGACGCUGCACUUUUCUCCAUCUUUUGAUUGCUACCUUGCAGAAGCCAUUGCCGUGGAGAAGUGCAAUCUGUGGUGCGGUAGCUUUCCUCUGCACAAAGAUGGCAGCGUGAUUAGGCACAUCACCUUCUGUGAAUGCCUCCCAGUUUUAUAACCAGAAUGCCCUCCUGAUUUUAUAAACAAAUCUUUUAGCAGCUUGUAAAGGGCUUCUCCCUCUGAUCACAC